CUGUGCUAGAUGGGGAGGUAGCGGUGCCCUGUAACCUGCAAACCGCUAUAGCAGGGUCGAAUUCCCUUUGGAGGCAUUGUCUUUGUGGUGCAGACUCGGAUAAGUGGUUAUGACGACUGGGUCCCGCUCAACGGAAGUUCAUGAACCCCGUCAGGUCCGGAAGGAAGCAGCGGUAAGUGAUCCCUUUCGUGUGCUGCGGGUCAGCCUGGUCUGAGCUAACUGUUCGGGUACCGGCUAUGAAACUUUGUCGAAUUGGGGUGCACAG
Molecule: signal recognition particle RNA, 265 nt
Filed under: Tindallia californiensis
Lineage: Bacteria; Bacillati; Bacillota; Clostridia; Peptostreptococcales; Tindalliaceae
Description: Bacterial large signal recognition particle RNA
Rfam family: Bacterial large signal recognition particle RNA
About the family: The signal recognition particle (SRP) is a universally conserved ribonucleoprotein involved in the co-translational targeting of proteins to membranes. Archaeal SRP consists of a 7S RNA and homologues of the eukaryotic SRP19 and SRP54 proteins.
Source: Rfam by way of RNAcentral